UACGGAGGAUGCGAGCGUUAUCCGGAUUUAUUGGGUUUAAAGGGUGCGCAGGCGGCUCGUUAAGUCAGCGGUGAAAUGUCCCGGCUCAACCGGGUCACUGCCGUUGAUACUGGCGGGCUGGAGCGCGGACGGCGCCGGCGGAAUGUGUCAUGUAGCGGUGAAAUGCUUAGAUAUGCCACAGAACACCGAUCGCGAAGGCAGCUGGCGAGGCCGCAGCUGACGCUGAGGCACGAAAGCGUGGGGAUCAAAC
Molecule: ribosomal RNA, 250 nt
Filed under: uncultured prokaryote
Description: partial 16S ribosomal RNA
Rfam family: Bacterial small subunit ribosomal RNA
Source: RNAcentral